GGUAGAGUGGCCGAGUGGUUAAGGCGACAGAUUUAGGUUUAUGUAAGCAAGUUACGCAGACCUCUGUUGGGAAACCGCGCGAGUUCGAAUCUCGUCUCUAUCA
This is a non-coding RNA of Colletotrichum phormii, 103 nucleotides long. Lineage: Eukaryota; Fungi; Ascomycota; Sordariomycetes; Glomerellales; Glomerellaceae. The record is from the annotation of a RefSeq genome assembly.